AUUGAACGCUGGCGGAAUGCUUUACACAUGCAAGUCGAGCGGCAGCACGGGGGCAACCCUGGUGGCGAGCGGCGAACGGGUGAGUAAUACAUCGGAACAUGCCCAGUCGUGGGGGGAUAACACUUCGAAAGAAGUGCUAAUACCGCAUACGUCCUGAGGGAGAAAGCGGGGAUCGCAAGACCUCGCGCGAUUGGAGUGGCCGAUGUCAGAUUAGCUAGUUGGUGGGGUAAAGGCCUACCAAGGCAACGAUCUGUAGCUGGUCUGAGAGGAUGAUCAGCCACACUGGGACUGAGACACGGCCCAGACUCCUACGGGAGGCAGCAGUGGGGAAUUUUGGGACAAUGGGGGCAACCCUGAUCCAGCCAUUCCGCGUGAGUGAAGAAGGCCUC
RNAcentral lists this ribosomal RNA (389 nucleotides) under uncultured bacterium. RNAcentral's name for it is "bacterial SSU rRNA". It matches the Rfam family "Bacterial small subunit ribosomal RNA", at positions 30 to 418 of the family's 1533-position model. The record is from RNAcentral.